This 30-nucleotide non-coding RNA is filed under the name Mus musculus (house mouse). Lineage: Eukaryota; Metazoa; Chordata; Mammalia; Rodentia; Muridae. The record is from RNAcentral.
UUGAUAAGCCUCACCUACUGACCGCCCAGC